This 207-nucleotide unclassified non-coding RNA is filed under the name Peniophorella pallida. RNAcentral's name for it is "partial internal transcribed spacer 2". The record is from RNAcentral. Lineage: Eukaryota; Fungi; Basidiomycota; Agaricomycetes; Hymenochaetales.
AUUCAUCAACCCCGAAGGGAUUUGCGUCCUUCUCGGUGGCUUGGACUUGGGGGAUUAUUGCUGGCCUUCAUCGGUCGGCUCCCCUUGAAUGCAUUAGCUUGGACUUGUCCCAGCGACGUCAUAGCGUGAUAAUUAUCUACGCUUUGAACCGUCUGUUGGUACCUCGUCGGUCUGGCUUCCAACCGUCUUCGGACAACAUACCAUUCA